AGAGCUCAUUCAGAGAUUGAUAGAUUGAUAGAUUCUUGUUGUCUCGAAUAAUUAAGGGCUACGGGGAGAAUGCGGCUACCACUUUCUCUGGAAGUUCAUUCCACACAGGCUCGUGUGUUAUAGUGACAGGCAGCUGGAAGCUCGGGCUGUGUUUUUGCAGCAGAACGUAGAUCAUCAGUCGCCAUUUCCGCCACCUCCACUGAGAUGCUGCCAGACACAGGAUAUUAAAUCAGAAUAAUUGAGGCUAGAAACUCAAAAGCAAGUUUUUACAGUCAAUGGAGUCAUCGGGAUCUGAAUAUCAUUUGCAUUUGACUGUGGACGGAGAAAGGAUGAGGCUGUCACUGGCUCGGCCAGCAUUUAUUGCUGCGUUUACCCAGUGGGCAGUUAAGAAUCAACCACGUUGCUAUAGGUCUGGAGUCCCAUGCAGACCAGACCAGAUCCCAGUGAUCAGUGCCAAAGCCCCAUUGCCUGUGGAGAGGGUGAUGUUUGAUUUCCCUGUCCAGCUGCAGUUCAUGUGGUGAAGGUGCUCCCACAAUGUGGUUGGGUGGACAUUCAGAUGGUAAUCUCAGUAAUUGUAACGCCAAACUGUGACAAAAUUACUCAAUUCAUCAGGAGCUGGAU
This is a long non-coding RNA of Hemiscyllium ocellatum (epaulette shark), 621 nucleotides long. RefSeq lists it as uncharacterized. The record is from RefSeq and is a predicted model, not a curated record. NCBI's taxonomy places the organism in Eukaryota, Metazoa, Chordata, Chondrichthyes, Orectolobiformes, Hemiscylliidae. The transcript is spliced from 6 exons.